This 330-nucleotide long non-coding RNA is filed under the name Capsicum annuum. RNAcentral describes it as "long non-coding RNA (CANN_LNC006253)". The record is from RNAcentral. Lineage: Eukaryota; Viridiplantae; Streptophyta; Magnoliopsida; Solanales; Solanaceae.
GAAAACGAAGAAAGUGGAGGAGCACGAAGAGAGGAAAAAGGGGAUAUACUUUAGUGGUUGACCUCCUGCUUACUUCAGCCAUUAAUGUGUGCUUAAACAGACAAAUCUUGUGCAUCAAUACCCCUUAAUUAAUCCCUCUUUUGGAUUCACCCACUUUACGAAAUUCUAACUCCCCCCAAUCCAUUAUUCUAGGUUAAUAGAGAUGGAUUCAAGAUCAAUAUAAUAUUUAGAGAGUAGAUGGCAUAUUUAUAAUUUAUUGAGGACAUAUAUAAUUUUAGAUAGAAGAAUAUAGAGGUUGAGAAUUGAAGUAGAAGGUUAGUAGAUAGUCGG